GUGGGGAAUCUUGCGCAAUGGGCGAAAGCCUGACGCAGCCAUGCCGCGUGAAUGAUGAAGGUCUUAGGAUUGUAAAAUUCUUUCACCGGGGACGAUAAUGACGGUACCCGGAGAAGAAGCUCCGGCUAACUUCGUGCCAGCAGCCGCGGUAAUACGAAGGGGGCUAGCGUUGCUCGGAAUUACUGGGCGUAAAGGGCGCGUAGGCGGACAGCUUAGUCAGAGGUGAAAGCCCAGGGCUCAACCUUGGAAUUGCCUUUGAUACUGGCUGUCUUGAGUUUGGGAGAGGUGAGUGGAACUCCGAGUGUAGAGGUGAAAUUCGUAGAUAUUCGGAAGAACACCAGUGGCGAAGGCGACUCACUGGCCCGAUACUGACGCUGAGGCGCGAAAGCGUGGGGAGCAAACAGGAUUAGAAACCCUGGUAGUCC
Molecule: ribosomal RNA, 425 nt
Filed under: uncultured bacterium
Lineage: Bacteria
Description: partial 16S ribosomal RNA
Rfam family: Bacterial small subunit ribosomal RNA
Source: RNAcentral